Molecule: long non-coding RNA, 2014 nt
Organism: Capsicum annuum
Lineage: Eukaryota; Viridiplantae; Streptophyta; Magnoliopsida; Solanales; Solanaceae
Exons: 2
Source: RefSeq, a predicted model, not a curated record
UCUAAUGGUCUUCACACUUUUAAUAUAUUAUAGAUUAUAGAUGUAUAAGGUAUAAGUAUGAUAUUAUUGAAAUGCUUUUAAAAAAUUGGAAUUAUAAUUCUUAGUAAUACGAGUAUAUGCAAGUUUGAAAACAACCAAACUAUGAUUAUCAAUUUAUCAUAUUGCAAAACCGCAAAUACAAACUUUAAAAUACUGAAUGACACCAAAUUAAUUUGGUGCAAAAAUGAUAUUUUAAAAAAUCAAAACUCAAAAAUUUCAAUAUUAGACCAUAACCUCAUCAUGCCCGUCCCUAUUCCUCUUGUAUCAAACUUUAUGAUUAUCAAUUUAUCAUAUUGCAAAACCGCAAAUACAAACUUUAAAAUACUGAAUGACGCCAAAUUAAUUUGGUGCAAUAAUGAUAUUUUAAAAAAUCAAAAAUCAAAAAUUUCAAUAUUAUACCAUAACCUCAUCAUGCGUGUCCCUAUUCCUCUUGUAUCACUGUGAGAGAAGAAAGAGUUGUUUGGAUGAUAAGCAUCUUUUUCUUCAACCUCGAGCUAGGAUUGUGAGUUCGAAUCACCAAGGGAAUAAAAAUAUGAAAGCUUUUACAGAAAUUUUUUAAAAAUUACUAUGAAGAAAAAAUAUAUUUUAAAAUAUUACAUUAAUAUUCAAAUAGUGAAAGAUAACAAAUAUUUUGGGACGGAGGUAAUAGUUAAAUACUGAAAAGCUGAAUUUGAAAAUCGUCAAUCUCAUUCCUUUUUGUGUUUUCUGCAAAAACCCAUCAAAUUAAACAAACACUAAUAAAAACUUGAAAAAAAAUUGAAUAUUUGCUACAACUCUUUAAAACGUCAAUGCAAUUAAUUAGGAAAAAAAUAUCGUUUUUAUCCCAAACUAUACAAGAAAAGUCUAAGCCACACCUAAACUAUCGAAGUGACCUAUUACACACCUAAACGAUAUAAAAGUGAUAUUAUUAUCUUUCUGCGACACUCAUUCUAAGGCGCGUUUCUUACACUCGUUUUAGGCGCAUCCAGCAUUUUGAAUAACAAAAGUAAACGGUUAAGAACAUUAAAAGUACAUCACUUUUAAAUUUCAACGGAUCUAUUCUUAUUUAAGCCAAUUUGAGGCUAAAAACUACGAACCCUAAUUCCCAAAUUUGUCUUUCAAAAUCGAAAUUGAAGAUCAUUUGUUUGAAGAAUUGGUAACUAAAUCUUUUUAAUAUUUUGAUUUCUUACUAUAUUGAUGAUUAUUUUGUCUUAAUUUUGUUGCAAUUUUGAUAAUUUUUUCUUCCAUCAAGUGUUUGUUCAACCUCUCUUAAAAUUUAUUUUCUUAAUCAAGGUACUUUAAUGGCUAAGAUAAGUUUGAGUAGACUUUGUAAGCAAGAAGAAGAGCAUGAGUUGGAUGAGGUUCGAUGCAAACAUGGACAUCUUUUGUCUUUGAUGAUUUCAUGGACCUAAAGAAAUUCGGGUAGACGAUAUUGGACUUGUCCUUGCUCUGGGAAUGCUAGAUCAUGCGAUUUUUGUCUUUGGAAGAAUGAUUUUAUUAAUGAAUGAUCCAAAUUUGUUAUUCCUAAAUUGUUGGGAAGAAUCGAGGAGCUUGAGAAAAGAGUUGAAUCUUCGACAAACUGUGCAUUUUAUGAACACAAAAUGGUUGAUGACAAGACUACUAGGAUAACCAAGUCUGUGGAGAACAAAAUAGACAUGAAUAAAAUACAGUUGCAAAUGGACAAUUUUCAGGAUGAUUUGAAGAUGAUGAAGGCAAAUGAGAAGAAAUGGAAGAUCAAGUUGGCUAAUUCUAAGAAAAGGAAAAAAACAACUUUGGACUACUCUCAUUUGUGUAUGUAUUUUGGGUGUUAGUUUUCUAUUUCAAUUCAUGUUCUUGAAAGGAGAUCCAAGAAGGCUGCCCUAAACUAAGUUACUUUAUUUUUGUUAUGUUUUAAGAGGCUGCAAUUUGUAUCAAUUAUUAGAUGUUACCUUAGACAAAACUGUCAGGUUGUGUAAUUAAAUUGUUGUGUAAUGAAAUUGCAAAGUUGAACUUGAUA